AAAGAAGAUCGAAGAGAUCCUAAAGGAUCAUCUUCUCGAGAGACCCCGGGUAGAGCAGAGCAUCAUCAUCCUGGACAGUCUCGAUGAGCCGAAAGCCAUGAGCCCGUUACGUCUCUUAAAAACCUGCUUGCUCACUCCCAAACCACCAUUGCUAGGCUUUACAGCAUCGGCUGCUGCUGCUGCUUUCCUCACGAACAACGAUAUGAAGAAGCCCUCCAGGCCGUCCUCCGGGUCCGUCCGAAGCAGAUGCUCAGCUCCUUCAAAGACGGGGAGACCACGGCGUCGCCAUUGAGGGAAUGGAGUAGCGAGCUCGAAUCCGAGCGAUGACGCCAAUGGCAGGACGGAGCUCACGACGUCCUCGUUCUCAGCUUGGUGGAUUGAGCAGGUGCUGUAGACCACUCUCUCCACAGAGGGGACUGGGCAAGAGCAUGUGAGAGCGCUUUCCUCUGGAAGGCGGAGAGUUUCCUUAUCCUUGAACUCGUACUUGCAUCAUCCUGAUUACCUGCUGCGAAGGGAGCAAAUGGUCAAGUCUCUCUGUAGAGAUUCCGGAACCAGAGCAAGAGGGAUCUAAUAGAAUAGCUCGAACCUCGGCAUAUGAUGGAUCAUUGCUAUCGAUAUCCAAAAAGUCACCAUUGAUUAGAGGAUACUGUUUGCUCCGGAUCUUCGGAUAGUAUUUUGCAAAGUCUUGGUCCUCUCUUUAUUAAGUUCACAAGCUGUAAUACUCCCCUCUCCAUUCAUGAGUGCAGCAAGAUGGACUGUUUUAUUCCCUGGAGCCGCACAUGCAUCAAUAACCUAACCUGGCUCAGGGCAUAAUGCAACUGCCACCAUACAACUUGCUUUCCCCUGUAAAAAUACUUUUCCUUCUGAGACCAAAUGGUGGUUAUGCAAAUCAGUUCCAGGUGGGAGCACCAACAAGUCCGGAACCAAUUCAUGGAUGAAGUACCUUGUGUAUUUUGUUCAGUUCUUCGAUGACAGAAUCUGUACUGGUCCUGAGUGUGUUAACACGAAGAAACCUGGGUUUUGGUUUGACUGAAGAAAGGGAUAACAGUGAGUAGCUUGUAUGAAUACAAUUCCUCUAUUAGCAUAUGAUUUAAGCUUAGUGAGGACCAUAUGUAAUUAAUAUGUAGAAACCAAAACAUAUGCACAAAUUCAAUUAAUACACUUAUUUUCAAACAUUGUUAUGAUCCUAAUUUUGAAAACCAAGUCGGUUUUUCCGGGUGCAAAUGCGACUGGUGCUAUUAACUAUUAUCUGUGAUGGUAUUGCUAAAAAUAAAACCAACAGGUUAAACAGAGCUGGCCAUAAUAUGUCAAUUGUCAUAACAAAUCAACUGUACAUGGACAAAAGGAAAUGAACUCAUAAGCUACCUAUUAUAUGAAACAUUACAUGAACAAUGUAUAUUGAGUAUUGACAAAAUUGAACUGAGAUGCUCUGCAAAUGCAAGUGUAAGUUUGUAGCACAUUCUAAUUAUACAGUGUAAUUACAUGCUUCAUUACAGACUAGCACUUCUUUUAACUGCUACAAAAAAUUUAAACAUCGACUAAUGCAUUUGAUUUUGGAAGGGCAGGCUAAUUAGAUGGCUGAGAGAAGCAUUUAGAAGUAAUCAUAUCAUAUAACAGGAAUAAUGAAUGAAAAGCUUCAAAAGAACAGAGCGGAGAGAAGUACCUGUCCUUUUCUUGCUUACUAAGUCUUCAACACUACGAACCUUCCUUCUAAUACACAUUUUCUCAAGAGCAGCCAUAAUAGUAUCCUUAUGUAACAUAAUUAACUGUUCAACGGAUCCAGAAGCUGCUUAACUGACAAACCUGACCAAAGAGAAUGUCAUAGGCAGUCACGAAAACUAAUUCUUCCUGUUUCUGCAAGUUGAAAAAAAAAUACUCCAGUUGAUGCUAAAACCUCCUUUAGAAUUGGAAGAUACUUGAGGGUCUGGCAGACGAGGGCGAAGGUGGCGCGCUUGUUGCGGACGGAGGGGGAGUACACGAGCGACUUGAUGGAGCCCGCGGCGCGCCUGGACGCGUCCCCGCGGAGCACGCGGCGGAGCACCGCGGCCGCCUCGCGCCGCGCGAAGAACGCCGCCCGCUCCGCCGCGUCCCGGCUCGCCAUCCGUCGCCCAGGCGGCUUGCCCGGAGGCGGCCGGGGCGCGGGAACGUGGCCGCGGUUCUUCGACGGCGGCGGC
RNAcentral lists this small RNA (2174 nucleotides) under Oryza sativa Japonica Group (Japanese rice). Its description in RNAcentral is "sRNA Os02g0217850". The record is from RNAcentral. Lineage: Eukaryota; Viridiplantae; Streptophyta; Magnoliopsida; Poales; Poaceae.